This 515-nucleotide ribosomal RNA is filed under the name Pachygrontha sp. WCW-2003. RNAcentral's name for it is "partial 16S ribosomal RNA". It matches the Rfam family "Bacterial large subunit ribosomal RNA", at positions 1830 to 2600 of the family's 2925-position model. The record is from RNAcentral. Lineage: Eukaryota; Metazoa; Arthropoda; Insecta; Hemiptera; Pachygronthidae.
GUCCCGUAGAUUUUAAUUAUGGGUCUAACCUGCUCAAUGAUUUAUUAAUUAAAUAGCUGCAGUAUAUUAACUGUACAAAGGUAGCAUAAUCAUUUGUCUCUUAAUUUGGGGCUUGAAUGAAUGGUUGAACGAAAAACAAUCUUUCUUUAUUUAAAUAUUUGAAUUUAAUUUUUUAGUAAAAAAGCUAAAAUAUAUUUGUAAGACGAGAAGACCCUAUAGAAUUUAAUUUAAUAUUGUAUAAAAUUAAUCAUGUUUAACUUUUUUUUAUUGAAUAUUAAAUUGGGUUGGGGUGAUUAUGAAAUUUUAUUAACUUUCAUUAUUAUAUAUCAUUUAUUAAUGUUUAAUUGAUCCUUUAAAUUAAGGAUUAUAAGAUUAAAUUACCUUAGGGAUAACAGCGUAAUUCUUUUGGAGAGUUCUUAUCGAUAAAAUGAGUUUGCGACCUCGAUGUUGGAUUAAAGUAAGUUUUUGGUGUAGUAAUUAAAUAACUAGGUCUGUUCGACCUUUAAAUCUUUACA